UAUUAACUUUUUUUGAUUCAC
Molecule: non-coding RNA, 21 nt
Filed under: Caenorhabditis elegans
Lineage: Eukaryota; Metazoa; Nematoda; Chromadorea; Rhabditida; Rhabditidae
Source: RNAcentral